Molecule: long non-coding RNA, 3628 nt
Organism: Dama dama (fallow deer)
Lineage: Eukaryota; Metazoa; Chordata; Mammalia; Artiodactyla; Cervidae
Exons: 3
Source: RefSeq, a predicted model, not a curated record
CGAGGAAGAGCCGUGGUUCAUGGUUACAACGGGUGUGUAGCAGCAAAAAGGCUGUUUCCAAUCAAGCCUGGCAAUUUUAAAAACGGCCACAGCUCCCUGUGAUAAAUUCACUGAACAUCAGAGAAGGAACCACACCUGUCGGAGGAUGUUGGAACUGCCCUAAACAGCCUCAGGCACGAGCAGUCCGGUGCCUGGAACCCGGCCCAAUGCAUCACAGCCACCUCCUACGUUUGUUGACAUCACCGGUGAGUGAUGGGUGAGGAGCAGACAUGAAGAGAGCACACGCCCUGCCCGAGAGAAGCCCUCAGUCCACAGACACGGGGAGGAAUCUGAAGAGGCGUGUGGACCGCAGAUGCAAGUUGCAUCAACAGCAAGAAGGAAGGGCCUUCUAGGUGGAGGGAACACCUCCAAGGCUGCUGUGUCCAUGGGAUUCUCCAGGCAAGAAUACUGGAGCAACUAGCCAUUUCCUCCUCCCGGGGAUCUUCUCGAUCCAGGGCUCGAACCUGCAUUUCUUGUGUCUCCUGCAUUUACUGGUGGAUUCUUGGCCACUGUGCCACCUGGGAAGCCCAGAGAGAAGCAGAAGGCGUCACAGUAAAACCCUGUAUCUGGCUGAACGAGGGUAAGAGGAUUCAACCUGCACCAGAUUUUCCGGAGAAGCUUCUGGGGUCGGGGGUGGGGUGGGUGCCCAUCUAGCCCCGCCUCUAGAUCAGCCUACAGACUGUGAGGUGGUACACCGGCUGGACACUCGGGCAUCAGCCCGCCUGGGUCCCAACACGCCACUAACCCACAGCCACUCAACAGUGGUGGCCGGAGAUCCACUGGUGACAGGUGCAUUCCAGCAGUGAGGAUGCAGCGGAUAACUCCACAGAGAGGGGUCACCUCACAGGACUUCUGUUUCAAUGGAGGCUGACCAGCAAUGCGCCAAUGAGCUCAGAGAGUGAAAACGCCUCUGCGGAAUGAUGGCAUGGAGUCCAGGGGUCAGACAGUGACAGGGACAGGUCACCACGGGAGGCAGCAAGCCGAGAUGUCCCAGCAUGUUCUCUCACCACCAAGUGCAAGGACCAACUGUAGCUGAUGCCCGAUGAAUUCCUGAGGGUCUGAUCCAAGAGCAGUCCCGCGGCGCUGGCUGGACCCACAAUGAGGAGCCGCCAGGGAUCCUGGCAGAAGCUCGCAGAAGUAGCGGACACUUGGUUUCAAGGAUCCUCUGAUGCUCUGAGAGGCUGCACAGGGCCCAGAGGUGGCGGGAGAGCAGUGGACAGUCACCGAAGAGCCGGGCUUGGGCCCGGGACACAAGUAGCCAUCAAGGGGGCCGGGCAGGAGGGAUGCGUGAGCCAGGAUGACGCAGCUGCUGACACCACCUUGGACCUGGAACCGUGCGCUGCGUCCUGGCUGCUGGGGCCCCAGAUGGCCCACCUGGUCCCUAGACCUCAUGGUGGCAGGUGACCUCCCGACUGCCAAGAUUCCUAUCAGUUGCUUUCUCAAUAUGGGUAGGAAUUAGCUGCUCGGCAGACCAAAGAGAGAAGAAACCCAACCAUUCAUCGCUGGAGGAGUUUCUGUCUUUCGCAAUGGACAAGUUUACUUUAUUGAACAACUACUGCCUACAGGGUACUAUUUAUUUUCCCCACCCCUACUUCAGCCCCCACCAGAAAGCAGCCCCUAAGAGGGCCUGGGGGGCGCACAUAGGGCAAUUUGGCACACAGCCCUAUUCACAAAAGGUCUUCAGUGUACGCUUUUGACGUUACUCAGUUUUUUAAAAAAAUAUAUGUAUUUGGCUUCGCCGGGUCUUUGUGGCAGCGUGCAUGAUCUUUUUUAGUUGCAGCACAUGGGGUCUUUGAUCUUCGUUGUGGCAGGCGGAAUAUUUAGUUGCGGCAUGUGGGAUCUAGUUCCCUGACCGGGAAUCGAACCCCAGGCCCCCUGCGUUGGAAAGGUGGAGUGUUAGUCUUGGACCACCAGGGAAAUCCCUGACAUUAUUCAGUUUUUUGAUUUUGAAACUCAGCAAGGACUCUGGAGCCAGGCUGCCUGAGUUUGGAUCUGCCACUUACUAGCUGCGUGACCGUCACUGAGGUGCUGUUUCCUUGUCUGUAAAAAGGGACUGUCAGUAGCUUACACUAGUCACAAGAAGCCACAUAUUGAAUGAUCCCAUUUAUAGGAAAUGCCCAGAGUAGGUAAAUCCAUAGAGAUAAAGGGCCUCCCAGAGAGCUCAGUGGUGAAGAAUCCGCCUGCCAAUGCAGGAGACACAGGAGACGGGUUUGAUCUCUGGGUCGGGAAGAUCCCCUGGAGGAGGAAAUGGCAACCCACUCCAGUAUUCUGGCCUGGAAGAUCCCAUGGACAGAGGAGUCCGGAGGGCCACAGCCCACGGGGUCACCAAGAAUCAGACACGACUGAGCAGGCAUGCUCGGCUCAGCACGGCACAGUCUAACGUGGUGGAAGGGCUGGGAGCUCCGCUGCACGAAGUCACUCAGAGACUCAGGAUCCGUCUGUCUAACGUCUUCGUCCUUCUCUGGUGCCUUGGAGUCCUCUCAUGGGUCCACUUCAGCCAGCCAGAUUCUGAGCAGGCAGAUAUACAGACAAAAAGCAGAUGCCUGGUUUCCAAGGACUAGGAGGAGGGACGCAAAUGGGGAGUGACAGCAAAUGUGUACAGAAUUUCUUUUAGGGAUGAUGACAAUAUUCUAAAAUUAGAUAAAGUUUAAAGAGUUAUUACUUGCACAAUGCUUAGAGCAGAACCUGACACACAGAAAGUGAUUCAUAAGUCACUUUUUUUUUUUCCCCAUAAGUCACUAUUAAGUAAAACUCACUUCCACAAGAAGGCAUUCACCCUGUUGAGCUUGGGGAAGCUAUGCUUAUAACGUGAUUUUAAAGUGAUAUCCCCUUCUUGAACCUCACUGUCUGUUGAGUACUUUUUGUAAAUCCUGUAACUUAUCUUGUGGAUAGCAUCAUUCAUUCAUUCAUUUUACCAUAUUGGUGCCCUUCCCCCCUCCAUAAAUGGGUGGUGACUCUAGGCUCUGAAUGGCCAUCACUUCCGGUGAGCUGUCCCUGACUCAGCUGUAGACAAAGGAUCUAAAAGGCAACAAAAGGUGAGACUGUCACACAAAGGCAUUCAGAAGGAGAGUUGGGGAUGAGGUGUGUGGCCUUUAUUUCAGUGGUAUAGGACUAGGAAGAGAUGACUUCUAAGUUGUGUGGUCUCUUUAUUUGCUCAGAGCUGAAUUAAAGUAAUGCAACCACAGAAAGGAUUCAGGUCAGCAAGGAGCAGUCAUAGGGACCUUAUGGAGGGUGCCCGAUGGCAAGACCAAUAGUGCACAUAACAAGUGGUUCUGUAGGGGGGAGAGAGCUCUGACUGGUACUGUUUGCCAAUUUCCAUGGUGUAAAUACUCAAGCUAUAGGCAUGAUAGCACAGGAGUUAGAGUUGGCAAGAGGACUUAUAUACCAUUUCUACUGGACAGCUAUGAUAGAUAUAAAUAACCCCAAAGCAUAGAUAACAGUAAAUGUAGUAACAUAAUUGACUGUUUAGAAUUUGGGACUUUUGCUUUUAAUAACAACUUUGAGAUAUAAUUCACAAACCACCAAAUUCACUCCUUUAAAAUGGAUUUUAGUAUAUUCACAGAGUUGUGCAAAGAUCACCAUUAUUUAA